AGUCAAUAGAUACCCGGGUAGUCCAUGCCGUAAACGAUGAUUGCUAGGUGUGGGGGGUCUGACCCCUUCCGUGCCGGAGUUAAACACAAAUAAGUAAUCCACCUGGGGAGUACGGCCGCAAGGUUGAAACUCAAAGGAAUUGACGGGGGCCCGCACAAGCAGUGGAGUAUGUGGUUUAAUUCGAAAGCAACGCGAAGAACCUUACCAGGUCUUGACAUCCACCGAAUCCUGUAGAGAUACGGGAGUGCCCUUCGGGGAACGGUGAGACAGGUGGUGCAUGGUUGUCGUCAGCUCGUGUCGUGAGAUGUUGGGUUAAGUCCCGCAACGAGCGCAACCCUUGUGAAUAGUUGCUACGAAAGAGCACUCUAUUCAGACCGCCGUUGACAAAACGGAGGAAGGUGGGGAUGACGUCAAAUCAUCAUGCCCCUUAUGACCUGGGCUACACACGUACUACAAUGGCCGUUAACAGAGGGAUGCAAUACCGCGAGGUGGAGCGAACCCUAAAAACGGUCUCAGUUCAGAUUGCAGGCUGAAACUCGCCUGC
RNAcentral lists this ribosomal RNA (544 nucleotides) under uncultured bacterium. RNAcentral's name for it is "bacterial SSU rRNA". It matches the Rfam family "Bacterial small subunit ribosomal RNA", at positions 775 to 1319 of the family's 1533-position model. The record is from RNAcentral.